Molecule: ribosomal RNA, 465 nt
Filed under: uncultured bacterium
Lineage: Bacteria
Description: partial 16S ribosomal RNA
Rfam family: Bacterial small subunit ribosomal RNA
Source: RNAcentral
GACGAACGCUGGCGGCGUGCUUAACACAUGCAAGUCGAACGGAAAGGCCCUGCUUGCCGGGUACUCGAGUGGCGAACGGGUGAGUAACACGUGGGUGAUCUGCCCUGCACUUCGGGAUAAGCCUGGGAAACUGGGUCUAAUACCGGAUAGGAGCCAUUUUUAGUGUGAUGGUUGGAAAGUUUUUUCGGUGUAGGAUGAGCUCGCGGCCUAUCAGCUUGUUGGUGGGGUAAUGGCCUACCAAGGCGGCGACGGGUAGCCGGCCUGAGAGGGUGGACGGCCACAUUGGGACUGAGAUACGGCCUAGACUCCUACGGGAGGCAGCAGUGGGGAAUAUUGCACAAUGGGCGCAAGCCUGAUGCAGCGACGCCGCGUGGGGGAUGACGGCCUUCGGGUUGUAAACUCCUUUCGCUAGGGACGAAGCUUUUUGUGACGGUACCUAGAUAAGAAGCACCGGCUAACUACGUG